GCUGGGCACAGUGUUGCACACCUGUAAUCCCACCAUCUUGGGAGGCUGAGACAGGAGGAUCUUGAGUUCAAAGCCAGCCUCAGCAAAAAAGUGAGGCACUAAACAACUCAGUGAGACCCUGUCUCUA
This 127-nucleotide small RNA is filed under the name Marmota monax (woodchuck). The record is from RNAcentral. Lineage: Eukaryota; Metazoa; Chordata; Mammalia; Rodentia; Sciuridae.